UUCCGUAGCCCACCUGGGAAGUAAAUUACUGGGCAGUGCUAGAGUUAGUAAACCUACAUACACUCAUAAAAGUUCAAACCGAAGUGUGAUCAUCAAGUACUUACAGUUGAAGAGUCCAGACAUGUUUCAGUGGUUCUAUGCUCCCAGGGCACAACAUCAUCUGCAGUGGCCAGAGUCAGCUGAAAUAGUCUCUCAUAGGCUAGCUUUCGAAUGAGGAGUUUCUCACAGAUGAUCAACCACCCUUCCAGCAAAUCACAGGUGUUCUCCACAUGGUGUGAGCAGGCUCAUCUUUGCAAUCAUGCCUGAUUGAACAUUACCAAUAAAUACAUAAGUGUGGAGCCAGACUGGUACAGAGCAGUACAAGGAUAAGUCAAGAAGGACAGAAGACAAACGUGCCUCAAUAUUGUGCCUGUGAGUAUCCUUUUUGCUGCCUUGGAAAUUCCGUAUUUCCCUGAUGGUUCAAUAUCUUGGUAGAGUUCUUGCUGAAGACCAGCUGCCAGUGUUUCCUGCAAGUCUUUGAAAACAUAUUAUUAACAAAUAUGGUCUGUUCAUUUUUUGGUUGUUUGGUGUUUUGGUUUUUUUUAGACAGAAGAUCUUUGUGUUACUGUGUCUCUGCACCAUCAGAUUG
Phalacrocorax carbo (great cormorant) is the source of this 628-nucleotide non-coding RNA. The record is from RefSeq and is a predicted model, not a curated record. NCBI's taxonomy places the organism in Eukaryota, Metazoa, Chordata, Aves, Suliformes, Phalacrocoracidae.